GAAUACGCUCCCGAGGGUGUGCGAAUGGCAAAGGCAACUAGGGUUGGCGGUGUGGUUGCGUGAGAGACUGAGAGCGAGAGAGAAAGAGAGAGGUGGCUCAUGGUUGUGCCUGUGCGAGACUGAGAGAGAGAGAGAGAGAAAGAGAGAGGCGGCUGUGUGAACAAAAAGUGGGAAAAGGUAAUUAGGGUUAGAAAGAAAAUGUGUGAAAUUUAUUUCAUGAGCUAUGGGCCAUGAGUNUCUCUAGUAGAUAGGAAUCGGAUUUUAUUUCUCACUUUUCAGGUGUCGAAAUGACAUAAAACUUUAAAUCUAGCCUCAUAAAAAUAAUUUCAACAUAUACCCAGACUUUCAUAAUUUUCUGACACUCUGAAUUUUCUGCUAAAAUAUCAGCCCCGUUUCUCACAGAGAAGUCUAAAUCUUCUGUUUUCGUUUCGAUUUCAACACAAGCCAUUCCAGACUUAUAUUUUGUUUCUUUAAGUCCAAUAAAAAUAGUAUCUUACACCAUU
Molecule: long non-coding RNA, 503 nt
Filed under: Ananas comosus (pineapple)
Lineage: Eukaryota; Viridiplantae; Streptophyta; Magnoliopsida; Poales; Bromeliaceae
Description: long non-coding RNA (ACOM_LNC041850)
Source: RNAcentral